GAUGAAGAACGUAGCGAAAUGCGAUAAGUAAUGUGAAUUGCAGAAUUCAGUGAAUCAUCGAAUCUUUGAACGCACAUUGCGCCCGCCAGUAUUCUGGCGGGCAUGCCUGUUCGAGCGUCAUUACAACCCUCAGGCCCCCGGGCCUGGCGUUGGGGAUCGGCGGAGCCCCCCGUGGGCACACGCCGUCCCCCAAAUACAGUGGCGGUCCUGCCGCAGCUUCCAUCGCGUAGUAGCUAACACCUCGCGACUGGAGAGCGGCGCGGCCACGCCGUAAAACACCCAACUCUUCUGAAGUUGACCUCGAAUCAGGUAGGAAUACCCGCUGAACUUAAGCAUAUCAAUAAGCGGAGA
RNAcentral lists this unclassified non-coding RNA (351 nucleotides) under soil metagenome. RNAcentral's name for it is "partial contains 5.8S ribosomal RNA, internal transcribed spacer 2, and large subunit ribosomal RNA". The stretch from base 1 to 120 matches the Rfam family "5.8S ribosomal RNA", at positions 35 to 154 of the family's 154-position model. The record is from RNAcentral.